This 253-nucleotide ribosomal RNA is filed under the name uncultured bacterium. Its description in RNAcentral is "partial 16S ribosomal RNA". It matches the Rfam family "Bacterial small subunit ribosomal RNA", at positions 524 to 776 of the family's 1533-position model. The record is from RNAcentral.
UACAGAGGAGCCAAGCGUUGUCCGGAUUGACUGGGCGUAAAGCGCACGCAGGCGGUUGCGCGCGUGGGGUGUGAAAUCUGGCCGCUUAACGGCCAGGCGCCAUCCCAUACGGCGCGACUGGAGUGAUGCAGAGGUCGAUGGAAUUGCCGGUGUAGUGGUGAAAUGCGUAGAGAUCGGCAGGAACACCCAGGGGGAAACCAGUUGACUGGGCAUCUACUGACGCUGAGGUGCGAGAGCGUGGGGAGCGAACCGG